UAUCAUCUUCCUCACCCUCCUGGGCAUCCUCAAAGUCCUCAUCAUCAUCCCGGUCAUCACCAUGUCCUCCUGAAGUUCCAGCAGCUCCAGACCCACUACCAUGUGCCUAUCCUCGAGGCCAAGCCAUAACACUGCGGAACUCAUCCAUAGUCCACCUGUGCACUGGUGGCUGGUCAUAUAAUCCCAUGAUCAUCUCGGCAGUGGCCUCCUG
This 211-nucleotide long non-coding RNA is filed under the name Vigna radiata. RNAcentral's name for it is "long non-coding RNA (VRAD_LNC010376)". Lineage: Eukaryota; Viridiplantae; Streptophyta; Magnoliopsida; Fabales; Fabaceae. The record is from RNAcentral.